This is a long non-coding RNA of Sander lucioperca (pikeperch), 790 nucleotides long. RefSeq lists it as uncharacterized. The record is from RefSeq and is a predicted model, not a curated record. The transcript is spliced from 5 exons. Lineage: Eukaryota; Metazoa; Chordata; Actinopteri; Perciformes; Percidae.
CUGACGUUGGUGUCGGGGUGGCUUACUUUAUAAUAGCCCAACAAUCGUGACUCUGCAUUUUAUUCAGCUCAUUGUCGGACUGAAGUUUACAGCUCAUCAAAAGGCUUGUCCAAAAAGUCGCAGAAACAUGACUAACGUCUUCGUUGAAUAUUGUGCAGGAUGAGGUUAUUCCCGCCGCUUCCAGGAACUAGCCCGUGUCGUCGGGCAGGUUCCUGGUGUGAAGGUGACGGGAAAAACAGGGAGGCAAGGCAGCUUUGAGGUGUCAGUGAAUGAUAAGCUGGUCUACUCCAAGCUUAAGACGGGAUCCUUUCCUAAUCCUAAUGAGGUGGUGGAAUUGGUGAAGAAGAACAUGGGCCAAGGAGGAAAAGCUGGGAAGACCACUCAGUUUUAGAAGAUGGAGGCUAAAACAACAGCUGUAUUCACACUGUAAGAACAAUGGGUUUUUUUAUGGCUGCUUAUCUGAAUACAAAAGUAAAUUCAAACAUAAAAAAGAAAUUAAAACAUAAUUGUGGACCAAAAUCAAAAAUCCUUAAAGUCUCACCGUCAUACAUGAAAAGAUCUGACCAUAUAUCUUCACUGUGAAUACAGACAAAGAUGAGAUGAUGAGAGCAACGCUCAGGAGCCAGGCACUGAUCUGUUCUUCUGUUUAUGAAUGUACACACUUAAGAUGAUGCAGUGUGUACACGAUGCAAGUCUAGAAGCUUUUCAGCUGAUUGGAGCCUGAGGAACUACUUUCAUCAUGUCCGUCUGGCAUUUAAUCAUAAAUAAAAUGUCUUUACAGCUGCAUUUA